RNAcentral lists this transfer RNA (74 nucleotides) under Eubacteriales bacterium. RNAcentral's name for it is "tRNA-Pro". The record is from RNAcentral. Lineage: Bacteria; Bacillati; Bacillota; Clostridia; Eubacteriales.
UAAAGUGGUAUAAAGAGUUAAGUUUUACCUUGGGGUGGUAGAGGCCGCUGGUUCGAAUCCAGUCACUCAGACCA